GGCUCAGGACGAACGCUGGCGGCGCGCCUAAUACAUGCAAGUCGAGCGAGAAGGUGUAGCAAUACACUUGUAAAGCGGCGAACGGGUGAGGAAUACAUGGGUAAUCUACCAUCGAGUGGGGAAUAACCAGCCGAAAGGUUGGCUAAUACCGCGUACGCCUCCGGAUCUUCGGGUUCGGAGGGAAAGCCACACUGUGAGUGCGGCGCUCUUUGAUGAGCUCAUGUCCUAUCAGCUUGUUGGUAGGGUAACGGCCUACCAAGGCUUUGACGGGUAGCUGGUCUGAGAGGACGAUCAGCCACACUGGCACUGCGACACGGGCCAGACUCCUACGGGAGGCAGCAGUAAGGAAUAUUGCGCAAUGGGCGAAAGCCUGACGCAGCGACGCCGCGUGGGGGAUGAAGGUCUUCGGAUUGUAAACCCCUUUCGGGAGGGAAGAUGGAGCGAGCAAUCGUUCGGACGGUACCUCCAGAAGCAGCCACGGCCAACUUCGUGCCAGCAGCCGCGGUAAUACGAAGGUGGCAAGCGUUGUUCGGAUUCACUGGGCGUACAGGGUGUGUAGGCGGUUUGGUAAGCCUUCUGUUAAAACUUCGGGCCCAACCCGGAAAGCGCAGAGGGUACUGCCAGGCUAGAGGGUGGGAGAGGAGCGCGGAAUUCCCGGUGUAGCGGUGAAAUGCGUAGAGA
This 681-nucleotide ribosomal RNA is filed under the name uncultured nitrite-oxidizing bacterium. RNAcentral describes it as "bacterial SSU rRNA". It matches the Rfam family "Bacterial small subunit ribosomal RNA", at positions 21 to 696 of the family's 1533-position model. The record is from RNAcentral.